This 74-nucleotide transfer RNA is filed under the name Perkinsus olseni. RNAcentral's name for it is "tRNA-Val". It matches the Rfam family "tRNA". From Rfam's summary of the family: Transfer RNA (tRNA) molecules are approximately 80 nucleotides in length. Their secondary structure includes four short double-helical elements and three loops (D, anti-codon, and T loops). Lineage: Eukaryota; Perkinsozoa; Perkinsida; Perkinsidae. The record is from RNAcentral.
GCUGGAAUGAUCUAGUUGGUUAUGACGACUGCCUCACACGCAGUAGGUCCCGAGUUCGACUCUCGGUCCCAGUA